Molecule: unclassified non-coding RNA, 276 nt
Filed under: Hevea brasiliensis (rubber tree)
Lineage: Eukaryota; Viridiplantae; Streptophyta; Magnoliopsida; Malpighiales; Euphorbiaceae
Source: RNAcentral
AAAACUACUCUUUUAAGGUGACACCAACAUUAUAGCAGAUCUGAUGCAAUCUCUAUCUGGCACUACUGCUGCUGCUGCUAGUCUCUAGUACCCACGCGAUGGAAAAACCAAUGCGCCAAGCAUAACGCUUAGUGGUGCACAGUUUAAGUAAAAAUAAACUAAGAAAAUAAAUAUAAAUACUUCAUAAGGAAGUACCCAUUUCAUGACUUUUGAGUCAUUUACUAUUUUAUUGAACUUUGGAGUAAUUAAACUUGUCAGGAUCUUUUCUAAUAAUUU